AUUGAACGCUGGCGGCAUGCUUUACACAUGCAAGUCGAACGGCAGCACGGGGGCAACCCUGGUGGCGAGUGGCGAACGGGUGAGUAACACAUCGGAACGUGCCCAGUUGUGGGGGAUACCUAUCGAAAGGUAGGCUAAUACCGCAUGAGCUCGGCAAGAGGAAAGCGGGGGACCCAGUGAUGGGCCUGGCGCGACUGGAGCGGCCGAUGUCCGAUUAGCUAGNGGUGAGGUAAAGGCUUACCAAGGCGACGAUCGGUAGCUGGUCUGAGAGGAUGAUCAGCCACACUGGGACUGAGACACGGCCCAGACUCCUACGGGAGGCAGCGAGU
This 329-nucleotide ribosomal RNA is filed under the name uncultured bacterium. RNAcentral describes it as "bacterial SSU rRNA". It matches the Rfam family "Bacterial small subunit ribosomal RNA", at positions 29 to 355 of the family's 1533-position model. The record is from RNAcentral.